This is a long non-coding RNA of Myotis davidii, 176 nucleotides long. RefSeq lists it as uncharacterized. Lineage: Eukaryota; Metazoa; Chordata; Mammalia; Chiroptera; Vespertilionidae. The transcript is spliced from 3 exons. The record is from RefSeq and is a predicted model, not a curated record.
UAUAUCCUUUUUUUAGGGGGUGGGCACAGUUCAACCCAUACCAGAUGGUAGGUUAAAGAAAUAUUGUCAUCUUAAGUCCUUUCAGAAACAAGGUGUCUGCUGGGAACCCUGUAUUUAUUUUCAUGGCUAACUGAACUCAUAAUCACAAGCCUCCUGCACACCCCCUACUGGGGAUU